Molecule: non-coding RNA, 335 nt
Organism: Paramuricea clavata
Lineage: Eukaryota; Metazoa; Cnidaria; Anthozoa; Malacalcyonacea; Plexauridae
Source: the annotation of a GenBank genome assembly
CGCCUAGCAGUCGAAGCAAAACGAGAAAGAUUAGAAGACAAAGGACAAAUGAGACCAGCCACCAGCUCGAUUCCUUUGCGAACCCACAGCAUUCAUUGUCAGAUUUCGUUUGUGCAAAGUUUAGAAGAGAUUGCCACUCGUCCAGAGACUGUAUAACGAAGGCAUAUAAUAACAUACUCGAACUGUCUGUGCCAAAUAUCGCUCGAAAGCAGAUCCUCGUCAGAUUUCGUUCAAUCAGCCAAUUGUGAAUGAGAUGCAAAGACCUGCCAAGCGACAUCGACGCGGUACCAUCCAGAGACCAUAACCAAUACGCCAUACCAUCGCCAAAGAUGUUG